This 75-nucleotide transfer RNA is filed under the name Prevotella sp. CAG:617. RNAcentral's name for it is "transfer RNA-Arg(CCT)". It matches the Rfam family "tRNA". From Rfam's summary of the family: Transfer RNA (tRNA) molecules are approximately 80 nucleotides in length. Their secondary structure includes four short double-helical elements and three loops (D, anti-codon, and T loops). Further hydrogen bonds mediate the characteristic L-shaped molecular structure. tRNAs have two regions of fundamental functional importance: the anti-codon, which is responsible for specific mRNA codon recognition, and the 3' end, to which the tRNAs corresponding amino acid is attached (by aminoacyl-tRNA synthetases). tRNAs cope with the degeneracy of the genetic code in two manners: having more than one tRNA (with a specific anti-codon) for a particular amino acid; and 'wobble' base-pairing, i.e. permitting non-standard base-pairing at the 3rd anti-codon position. Lineage: Bacteria; Pseudomonadati; Bacteroidota; Bacteroidia; Bacteroidales; Prevotellaceae. The record is from RNAcentral.
GCCCUUGUAGUUCAACGGAUAGAACGACGGUUUCCUAAACCGUAAAUAUGAGUUCGAUUCUCAUCGGGGGUACCG